RNAcentral lists this ribosomal RNA (497 nucleotides) under uncultured bacterium. RNAcentral describes it as "partial 16S ribosomal RNA". It matches the Rfam family "Bacterial small subunit ribosomal RNA", at positions 28 to 507 of the family's 1533-position model. The record is from RNAcentral.
GAUGAACGCUGGCGGCGUGCCUAAUACAUGCAAGUCGAGCGAACAGACGAGGAGCUUGCUCCUCUGACGUUAGCGGCGGACGGGUGAGUAACACGUGGAUAACCUACCUAUAUGACUGGGAUAACUUCGGGAAACCGGAGCUAAUACCGGAUAAUAUAUUGAACCGCAUGGUUCAAUAGUGAAAGACGGUUUUGCUGUCACUUAUAGAUGGAUCCGCGCCGAAUUAGCUAGUUGGUAAGGUCACGGCUUACCAAGGCAACGAUGCGUAGCCGACCUGGGAGGAUGAUCGGCCACACUGGAACUGAGACACGGUCCAGACUCCUACGAGAGGCAACAGUAGUGAAUCUUCCGCAAUGGACGAAAGCUUGACGGAGCAACGCCGCGUGAGUGAUGAAGGUCUUCGGAUCGUAAAACUCUAUUAUUAGGUAAGAACAAAUGUGUAAGUAACUAUGCACGUCUUGACGGUACCUAAUCAGAAGGCCACGGCUAACUACGUG